This 305-nucleotide RNase MRP RNA is filed under the name Acyrthosiphon pisum (pea aphid). Its description in RNAcentral is "RNase MRP". It matches the Rfam family "RNase MRP". Rfam says of the family: RNase MRP is an enzymatically active ribonucleoprotein with two distinct roles in eukaryotes. In mitochondria it plays a direct role in the initiation of mitochondrial DNA replication. Lineage: Eukaryota; Metazoa; Arthropoda; Insecta; Hemiptera; Aphididae. The record is from Rfam by way of RNAcentral.
CUCACCUCCGAUACCUUACCAUCGGGUCUACACUCUUGGCGCGGUAACCGAGCGGUUACCGAUUGUCCACAUCACGACCUGAGGAAAGUCCCCGGACCUCCGGCAGAGAGUGCAACCGGCUCAACGGCCGUUCGAUUCCGCCCCGCUCGUCCGAACACAUGACGGAUGUGAACGGUGCACGUUUCGGCGUGUCCGCGAUCCGUAGGCCGGCCGUGGGCGAUUUCGACUGGUCCUAGAUAUACAGUAUGUAAAGGGAGGGUUGUGCAAGCGACCCUUGACUUAAUGGGGCUUAUCAACGGAGGUGA